UGUGGUUCUACGGGAAGUGUGGGCUGGGUUUCUUCUAUCUGGACCGUGGCGGAACAUGGGGGUUUGUGAGGUCAGAAGGGAGGAGAUGCCGAGGUGGAAACUGCAGCCUUCUGUUCAUUGUGUAGACCUGGGGAAGAAUGAGGGGGCAGUCGAUUGGCUGCAAAAGGAGGCUGGGGAAGCUGAAUAGUGAUAACAACAGUUACCAUUUACUGGGCAUCUUUUCUAUGCCAACACUACUGUAAAGGCGAUAUUCAAAUCAACGCCCUAUAGGUGAAGAAAUCGAGGCCCAGAAAGUCUCAGUUCAUCAGAGACUGAGCCCCGAGACCAUCACCCAAGAGGUUCACCCUCAACAGAUGGGUUCCCUAAAUCCUGCCUUGUUCUCAAGAAGGCUGAAUGCAGAGGUAUCCAUGCCAAGACUGCACUAAGAGAGUUCCAGCAACCUCUUUGCUAACUCUGCUUUACUGCUCGGGAACACAUCAAUUGUCAAAAUUCCGUUAGGAAAUGAAGUGAUGUUGGCCUGGUUCCUCUCAGCUACCCUGGCUUCCUCCAACUGAGAGGGACAGCAGUCACCCCCUGUCAGAGAGCCUGGCCUGAGAUGAAGGAAAGAACUGCCAACACAGUGGGGUGCAGGAGAAGCCAGAGGCCCACCUGCCCCAAAUUACCUACCUCCUUGGGCUGCUUCUGUGCUCGGAACUCCUGCCAUUGGCUUCUCUUGCCCGGAUCAAGGCCCAGUCAGAAACAUGAAUUUGUGAGCUGAGGAUUCACUUUGGGCAGGAGUACCAGCAGCUUUCUUGACAAUCACAUGGGGAGAGUCAGUUGGAGGAGUGAAACCUUAUAGAGACAAGAUGAGCAGAGAGGUAGAGAAAGAAAACCAACCGUGAUGAGCCCCUUGCUCCAGUGUGCCUCAAGCCACCUGUAUCUCUGGACCUUCCAGUUACGUAUUUUCAAACCUCAAAAUGAAGAGAGGAAGUUGGAGUGAGUGAACCCCGAGUUCAGACAGUUACACCUCCAGCUCCCACCUGUGCUGACCAGCUCCUUCCCUGCCUCCUGCCCACACACCUCCAUCUGACUGGCUGCCAUAUUGGGCUGGGAAGAGAGAAAGGGGCAGAAGAGGAGAGAAUAAGGAAAAGGUAUUGCCUGGUGACCUUGGCCUUCCUUGGAAUGGACAGCUGGAAUAAAUACUAUCCAGAAAGCCUGGGGCUGUGGGUCCUGUCAAGCCCACCACACCCAGCACCACAAAUGCCAUCCCCCUGCAGGAAUUCUCUGAGCACUUUGUGGGUAUCCAUCUCCCAGAUGACUUUCAGCCGGGUCUUGCCCACCUGGUCUCAACCUUAACUGUUUACCUGGGCUGGUCUCUGAGCAGAAUCCAUGGCUGCCCUCAAAUCAGGUUACGGCCACAGCCUCUGGGUAUUGACUCAAAGAUUACAGGUGAGCAAACAGAAGCAUGUUAAUUUUUAAUUUCACUUUGCUGACUGGUAACCAGGCUGCCUCUUUGUCCCAUAACCGAUAAUUACCUGGUAAGAAGAAACAUGCAACCACUGCCCUGCAAUGAAAGUCCACUCCUCUGGCCUUCCUGGCCCAAGCCGGGCUUUGUAAAGCAGCUCCCAUAUUGAUUGGCCUCCGUCAACAGUUAGAGAAGUAAAGGACUUUUUCUGAGUCGGGCAACCCUGGAUCAGUGUGAGACCCUAGCUGCUUGACACGAUCCUCUAAGGUUUAGAAGGGAAUUCCCAGUGGAGGCCUUUGAAGUUUGGGCUUUGGGGUAGGAAUGGGACAUUUCUUCUAAUGAAGGAGAGACUGACAGAGAAAGUGUUUCUCUCCAUGGCUCCCAGUUCAGAUAAGUCACCACCUACACAGACAUCCUCACAUCCUGGAGCCCAGGCUGUCGUCAGCGGUGACUUCACCCCAGCACAACCUGAGGGCAGAAAUCUACAGCGAGGUGUCACCUCAUCCUCACAGGAGCUCUCUAAGUCCCUUAGUUCCCAUCAUGCCAUCUCUGGGAGGUCAUGGUCAGCACCCCGUGGUGUGGAGGAGGAAACUGAGGAUAAUUGGCCUGCCCAAGGUCGCACAAUUCUUCAUAUCUUCAGGGGGUCUGGUCACUUAAAUGCAGAGAUCCGUCACAUAUUGUUCUCUUCCUUUUUCCCUUUCACUUUUUAGGACCAAAGUGGUUUCAGUUUGAAAACCAUAAUGAAUUUAACAUAGAUCAAGAAAAGCCGCAGAAGCAAUUUUUCCCAUCUGGGAAGGAACAGAAUCUACAAUUUUGUGCCAUUUGUCUACCCUGUCACUAACUGCAGAGAAAACAUUCUAACACUGUCCUUUGUGGCCUCAAGCCAUUUCCCUGGGGCUAUUGGACUAAAAAAACCCAGAGAAAUAAAAAAAUCAGAAUCUAAGUAAAACUUGAACGUUAGUCAGAGACCCGCGGCACAGGGAUUCAUUCAGCUGGUUAUUUUAAAUAAUUCACUCCAGAAAAAGACUGGUUGAGUACGUGUAUAUAUCUCACCAACUUCAACAUCAUUCACAGAUGUUGGCAAGUGACUAAAAAAGAAGUGGAACUUUGUUUGAUGUUUAGAGAUGGGUGUACCCAAUUAUACCCACAGAAUUCGAGAACUGGAAGGAGACUGAGAAAUCAGUUAGUAGAGUAAGUCAGGGCAUGAAACCUUUUUCUGGGGGGCUGCUUCUGAGUUUCCUUAAAUUUUAUGAUCACAGGAGACAUAAACCUUGAUGUGGCUGGAGAGGGAAAGGAAGGGGUAUACGGAGCACGUGAUGCUAUCAUCUUUCUGCUUUAACGUCUCACGUCUCCCCCGCCUGUAGCAGCAUUUCUGUGGAACAUCAGUCUCCCAGGCUCCUCUCUGCAAAGGUUUGCACAGUCAUGCUCCUUUGGGAAAUGCUGCCAGUUACAUCCCACUCUUGGAAAUUUGCAAUGCGCAUCCACGUAAUAAAUGCUGUUGAACCAAGCAGUCCUGGAAUAAAGAAAACCUCCUUAACUCUGUUUAAGCCAAGCUUCCAAUCUUAUUUUAUGAUUGUAUCAGGUAGGAUACAGCUGCAAGUGACAGAAACUCUGACUCAAAACUGGGAUAAACAAUAAGGACAUGGGUCCUUCACAAACCAGACGCUCAGCAAGGUAAAGCAGGUUUUGGAGAUUUCUCCUCCCGUUUUUCUGCUCUGGCGUUCUCAGUGAUGGCUUCCUCAUUAGGCCGAUCAAGACGGCAGUUCCAGGCAUCACAUUCAGGGCUGACACAUGGCAGAGGAAGAAGAGAGAGCAUUUCUUCCUGAGAAGAAACUCUCCCGCAAGGACCGUGACAUCCAUUCAGGUCUCAUUGGCCAGAAUCACAUCACGUGUCCACUCCUGAGUCAGUCAUUGGCAAAAAGAAUGGCGUUUCCCUCUGACCAUUCGCCCUGAAGCUGGAGGUGAGUCAGCUUCCCUGAAGCAGGUGGCUGCGUGGAGGUGGAAUGUAUUCCUGAACAAAACUGGAGCUCUGUUGGGAAGGCAGCGCAGAAUGGGCAGGCAGUCAACAGUGUCCACUCCAACUGCAGACUCCCUUUCACACUUAACACCCUGUGAUGGCCAAUUCUAUGUGUCCACUUGACUGGUCCGCAGGGUGCCCAUAAAUUUGCUCAAACAUUAUUCCGGGCGUGUCUGUGACGGUGUCUCUGGAUGAGAUUAACAUCUGAAUCGGUAGACUGACUAAAGCGCAUUGCCUCCCCAGUGUGGGUGAGCUCAUCCAAUCCGUUGAAGACCUGAAGAGAAUGAAAAGACUGAGAAGUGAACUCCUCCUGCCUGACUACCUGAGCGAUGACAUUGGUUUCUCCCAGUGUUUGAACUUGAAACAUCAGCUCUUCUUGGGUCUCCAGCUUGCUGACUGCAGAUCUUGGGACUUAUCAGCCUCCACUUCCUGAGAAUAAGUCUUUUCUUUUUACACAUAUAUACACAUAUGUGUAUGUGUGUGCAUGUUGUUGUUGUUCCUCUUUGAGACUUAGCACAAUAUGUGGUACUUGACUAGUGCUCAACAAAUGCUUGUGAAUGACUGGCUGACUGAUCUUCAUACCUAAGGAAACUGAAAUUCCGACAGGGUGAAGUGAGAAGCACAAUAUCACAUAGAAAGGAAGUGCUAGAACUUGGAACCUGGGUCUCCUGACUUCUGAAAUCAGGAGCUGUGCAUGACACCUAGAGGUUGCAUCCCACCAUGUGACAGCAUUCCUGUUACUCAAGUAACAAACUUUUAUUGAACACCUAUUAUGUGCCAGACACUCUUCUGGGGAUCCAUGAUGAAGAAGACACAAUCCCUGCCCUCAAGGCACCAGAUAGCCUUCCCCUGGACCAAAGCCUCCAGCUGGCCUCCCUGCAUCCAGGCUUCUGCUCCUCCCAUCCAUCCCUCAGGGCACCACCAGAAUGACUUCUUGGUUUACAUGCUUCAAAAGCGAUGGCCUCCUGGGAAUAAUGUGCACACUCCUGGCCUUCCAUUGUGGUAACCCAUCCAUAAUCUAACUUCUCUUACCCACACAGACUCACAUUUGACCACUGGCCAACUCAGCCUUUCUCACUGUGGGGACAAGACUGCUCACUGCCCCACAAACCACACAGCAGACUUCUUUCCAUCUCCACACCUUUGCUCCUUUGGUGCCUCCCAGCUGACAAACUUUCUUCACUUCUCAACUUGUAACUGGCAUGACCUACUUCAUUAGCUUGGAGUACAAGCAUAUUCACUUUUUCUUCCUCAAUUAAACCCUUGGAGGUCUUACAUGUUUCUAUUAGAAUUAUAUUUCCAUCUUUAUGAUCUCCUAAAAUUUGUACAAGAGUCCCACGAGCUUUCUAAGUAAAAUGAAACGACAACUAGAAAA
Long non-coding RNA from Equus asinus (donkey), 4836 nucleotides. The record is from Ensembl. Lineage: Eukaryota; Metazoa; Chordata; Mammalia; Perissodactyla; Equidae.